GAGCAAAACAAUAUCAGCAUAACAUCAUUGAAGCCUUGAAAGCAAGCAAUGGAAAAACUGCAUGAUUUACUUGACUGGGAUCUGUGAAGCCCUUAGGAAGUGCAGAGUUCCUACAUCUCCUCUCCCAACACAAGUGCUGUAAGCAACCAAAGUCAAAAUUAGAGCAAUUGAGAAGCUGCUCUAGGUUGUGCUGCUCUGUGAACGGAUGCUGGCCAUCUCCAGAGACAUGAGGGUAUGUAACUCCAAGCCAUCAACAAGGAGCUCUUCUGGCACCAGCCUUCUUCCAUGCCCUCAUCCUCUCAUGUCUGAUGUUAGGCUCAGGUCUUUCAUUAAAUUAUCAUUUAAAUAUUCA
This is a long non-coding RNA of Corapipo altera (White-ruffed manakin), 352 nucleotides long. RefSeq lists it as uncharacterized. Lineage: Eukaryota; Metazoa; Chordata; Aves; Passeriformes; Pipridae. The record is from RefSeq and is a predicted model, not a curated record. The transcript is spliced from 2 exons.